UCCCAUUUGGGUGAUUUAUUAGGGACUUGAUCAAUCAACUAACUUGAAUUUGUUUUCUCCCAUUUUGUAGAUGUCAAAGUAUGACAACUAUGGUCUUCCCAAAUCCCGUGGAACAAGCAUUCCACAUGAAGAUGAUAUUCCACGAUUCGAUUGAUGAACAAGAAAUCAUGCUUCACUUCCUCCACCUCCUCCAAUUAUUCNCUUCCUCCACCUCCUCCAAUUAUUCUCCCUAACCCACAAGUUCGAAGGCUUGAAAAGUUCAAACUCACUCAAGCCCUUUUGGCAAGUAAACAUAAAGAAGGAAAGUCAGUGUGUGCACACGUCCUAGAGAUGAAGUCACACAUUGAUAGGUUAAGAAUGUUGGGAUCCGUUGUCUGUGAGGAGAUGGCUGUUGAUUGGGUUCUUCAGUCACUUCCUAAAUCAUAUAGUGAGUUCGUAAGAGAGUACUAUAUGAUGAAUUGCGACGUGACCCUAUAGAUCUGACCUAUAUGCUUAUUGCUGCUGAAUCAGCAAUGGUUUGGCGCAAUUGAAAAGCAAAGUUGAUUGGUGAAUCUGCCUUCAAGACCUCUAUGGAUAUAGAAAAUGGCAACAAAUGACUUGCUAUGAUCAAAAAGUUUGAUCAUAAGAGAAAGGCAGUGUCUGAAGUAGUUCCAUGUCCUGUUCCAAAAGAGUCAAUCUGCCUUUAUUGCCAAGAGAAGGGGCAUUGGAGACGAAGCUGUCCUAUUUACCUAAGAGAUCUAAGAGAUGGGAGAGUCAAAUGUAUGGCUUUGCUUUAGGUAAAAUCCAUUGACUAACUCUUUUAAGCUCCUAUCCUAGAUUCUUAAUGUGAUAAGAUUACAAUUGGAUCGAAGAAAAGAAAGGAAGCUUAAGGGAAGAAGUGAGCAGAAUCUAACUGUGAAGAAAUGGAUUUCGAUCACAUUACUUGAAGAUUAGAUUCUUGAGCUACUACUUAGAGUUAGAAUUAGAAAUAUGUAUUAGCAUAGU
Molecule: long non-coding RNA, 984 nt
Filed under: Lactuca sativa (garden lettuce)
Lineage: Eukaryota; Viridiplantae; Streptophyta; Magnoliopsida; Asterales; Asteraceae
Description: long non-coding RNA (LSAT_LNC010302)
Source: RNAcentral